AAGUCGUAACAAGGUCUCCGUAGGUGAACCUGCGGAGGGAUCAUUUACAAGAAUUAACCCGGUUUACCACCGGGGCUAUUCACAACCCUUUGUUGUCCGACUCUGUUGCCUCCGGGGCGACCCUGCCUUCGGGCGGGGGCUCCGGGUGGACACUUACAAACUCUUGCGUAACUUUGCAGUCUGAGUAAAUUUAAUUAAUAAAUUAAAACUUUUAACAACGGAUCUCUUGGUUCUGGCAUCGAUGAAGAACGCAGCGAAAUGCGAUAAGUAAUGUGAAUUGCAGAAUUCAGUGAAUCAUCGAAUCUUUGAACGCACAUUGCGCCCCCUGGUAUUCCGGGGGGCAUGCCUGUUCGAGCGUCAUUUCACCACUCAAGCCUCGCUUGGUAUUGGGCGACGCGGUCCGCCGCGCGCCUCAAAUCGACCGGCUGGGUCUUCUGUCCCCUAAGCGUUGUGGAAACUAUUCGCUAAAGGGUGUUCGGGAGGCUACGCCGUAAAACAACCCCAUUUCUAAGGUUGACCUCGGAUCAGGUAGGGAUACCCGCUGAACUUAA
RNAcentral lists this ribosomal RNA (551 nucleotides) under Cladosporium cladosporioides. Its description in RNAcentral is "eukaryotic LSU rRNA". The stretch from base 207 to 360 matches the Rfam family "5.8S ribosomal RNA". The record is from RNAcentral. Lineage: Eukaryota; Fungi; Ascomycota; Dothideomycetes; Cladosporiales; Cladosporiaceae.